AGGGUGAUCUUUUUAAUGUGAAAGACCUGACAUCUCUGCAUUGUGAGCUAAAUAUUCCCAUUCCAGAGCCUCCUGCUCCUGAGGGCGAGGAUUCAUCGAAGAUGGAAACAGACAAAGAUGAGAAGAAAGUUCCUCGUUGUGGCUUCCUACAAGAGAAUGAGAAAAUGCACAGAAUCCUGAACAUUGUUCAACCUGAGGUCCGAUCUCUGAGAGAGGGUUGUGCACUGGUUAUCACCUGGAUCCAUCACCUGAUCCCAAAAA
Long non-coding RNA from Spea bombifrons (plains spadefoot toad), 261 nucleotides. RefSeq lists it as uncharacterized. The record is from RefSeq and is a predicted model, not a curated record. Lineage: Eukaryota; Metazoa; Chordata; Amphibia; Anura; Pelobatidae. The transcript has 4 exons.